Molecule: transfer RNA, 73 nt
Filed under: Chloroflexota bacterium
Lineage: Bacteria; Bacillati; Chloroflexota
Description: Chloroflexi bacterium (anaerobic digester metagenome) tRNA-Thr
Rfam family: tRNA
About the family: Transfer RNA (tRNA) molecules are approximately 80 nucleotides in length. Their secondary structure includes four short double-helical elements and three loops (D, anti-codon, and T loops).
Source: RNAcentral
GCCCACGUAGCUCAGUAGGUAGAGCACGCCCUUGGUAAGGGCGUGGUCAUGGGUUCGACUCCCAUCGUGGGCU